UGGGGAAUAUUGCACAAUGGGGGAAACCCUGAUGCAGCAACGCCGCGUGAGUGAAGAAGUAUUUCGGUAUGUAAAGCUCUAUCAGCAGGAAAGAAAAUGACGGUACCUGACUAAGAGGCCCCGGCUAACUACGUGCCAGCAGCCGCGGUAAAACGUAGGGUGCAAGCGUUGUCCGGAAUUACUGGGUGUAAAGGGAGCGCAGGCGGACCGGCAAGUUGGAAGUGAAAACCAUGGGCUCAACCCGUGAAUUGCUUUCAAAACUGCUGGCCUUGAGUAGUGCAGAGGUAGGUGGAAUUCCCGGUGUAGCGGUGGAAUGCGUAGAUAUCGGGAGGAACACCAGUGGCGAAGGCGACCUACUGGGCACCAACUGACGCUGAGGCUCGAAAGCAUGGGUAGCAAACAGGAUUAGAUAUCCUGGUAGUCCAUGCCGUAAACGAUGAUUACUAGGUGUUGGAGGAUUGACCCCUUCAGUGCCGCAGUUAACACAAUAAGUAAUCCACCUGGGGAGUACGACCGCAAGGUUGAAACUCAAAGGAAUUGACGGGGGCCCGCACAAGCAGUGGAGUAUGUGGUUUAAUUCGACGCAACGCGAAGAACCUUACCAAGUCUUGACAUCCCUUGACGAUGCUGGAAACAGUAUUUCUCUUCGGAGCAAGGAGACAGGUGGUGCAUGGUUGUCGUCAGCUCGUGUCGUGAGAUGUUGGGUUAAGUCCCGCAACGAGCGCAACCCUUAUGGUCAGUUACUACGCAAGAGGACUCUGGCCAGACUGCCGUUGACAAAACGGAGGAAGGUGGGGAUGACGUCAAAUCAUCAUGCCCUUUAUGACUUGGGCUACACACGUACUACAAUGGCGUUAAACAAAGAGAAGCAAGACCGCGAGGUGGAGCAAAACUCAGAAACAACGUCCCAGUUCGGACUGCAGGCUGCAACUCGCCUGCACGAAGUCGGAAUUGCUAGUAAUCGUGGAUCAGCAUGCCACGGUGAAUACGUUCCC
RNAcentral lists this ribosomal RNA (995 nucleotides) under uncultured bacterium. Its description in RNAcentral is "bacterial SSU rRNA". It matches the Rfam family "Bacterial small subunit ribosomal RNA", at positions 355 to 1375 of the family's 1533-position model. The record is from RNAcentral.